RNAcentral lists this ribosomal RNA (170 nucleotides) under Alternaria sp. BL1.11. RNAcentral's name for it is "Embellisia sp. BL1.11 5.8S ribosomal RNA". It matches the Rfam family "5.8S ribosomal RNA". From Rfam's summary of the family: 5.8S ribosomal RNA (5.8S rRNA) is a component of the large subunit of the eukaryotic ribosome. Lineage: Eukaryota; Fungi; Ascomycota; Dothideomycetes; Pleosporales; Pleosporaceae. RNAcentral also lists the same sequence under 9 other names. The record is from RNAcentral.
CAACUUUCAACAACGGAUCUCUUGGUUCUGGCAUCGAUGAAGAACGCAGCGAAAUGCGAUAAGUAGUGUGAAUUGCAGAAUUCAGUGAAUCAUCGAAUCUUUGAACGCACAUUGCGCCCUUUGGUAUUCCAAAGGGCAUGCCUGUUCGAGCGUCAUUUGUACCCUCAAGC